Molecule: unclassified non-coding RNA, 848 nt
Filed under: Hevea brasiliensis (rubber tree)
Lineage: Eukaryota; Viridiplantae; Streptophyta; Magnoliopsida; Malpighiales; Euphorbiaceae
Source: RNAcentral
UUUUACAGAAGACAAUCACAUUCUUUCAUUACAGGAACAAUUAAUAAAAAAAAAAUAACAUCUUGUUUUUUUACAGCAAACUAUUAGAUAAAAUGUACCCAGUCAGGCAUUUAUCCAGUAUAUUUAACGUUUAGUAUCUUUAUUUUCACGAUAUGGCCAUCUUCAGAUGAGCAUUAGUAACCUUGGAAUACAUUUCAAGUAUUGUGUUUUUUCUUAUUGAAGUGCACGAGAAACAUUAAUAAAUAAAAUAAUAUAGUUAUACAACAGAUGGUACAACAAUAGAAGCCCGUUUCUAGUGGCGAUCAGCAGAACUUGACUGCUUCAAAUCUCGUACGUUUGAAUAUAAGUAACUUAUCUGGUCACUAAAAAUUGAUGUUAUAGGCAGUGGAGAAAAUCCAGCAUAAGUUCUGUCCACUUUUGCUAAGCAUAAGUCCGCAAUAUACUUGAAAAGUUCAUGCUUCUGGGCAAAAGGUUGAGCUGCAUAUUCCUCAAAUGGUAUCCACUGGGCUGCUUCAAUCUCUAGUUCCUGCUUUUGGAUGUCAAAAGAUAAGGGACGCAGGAAGCACAAGAAGAAUAAAUCCGACUUCCCAAAGAAUGAUUUGUGUGACUGUCUGUAAGUUGAGGCAACAUUAAAAUGUAAGAAAAAUGUUAAGGCAUCAAAUUGAUUGAAGUCAACAAAUCCUUAUUUAACACUUCAGUAGUUGAAAUGCUACCAGAAUAUAUAUAUAUAUGUAUAUAAUCUUAAGUUCCAAAUAUAUUUUGAACUUGAGUUGAUUUUCACCAUGGCAUUGCAUUCAUUUAGAUCACUUGCAUUUAUUUUGUGUUUGUCAUUAUUAUCUAAUUAAUAA